Molecule: ribosomal RNA, 501 nt
Filed under: uncultured bacterium
Lineage: Bacteria
Description: bacterial SSU rRNA
Rfam family: Bacterial small subunit ribosomal RNA
Source: RNAcentral
AGUUUGAUCAUGGCUCAGAUUGAACGCUGGCGGCAUGCCUUACGACGUGCAAGUCGAACGGCAGCGGACCGUUCGGGUGCCGGCGAGUGGCGAACGGGUGAGUAAUGCAUCGGAACGUGCCAUUGAGUGGGGAUAACGUAGCGAAAGUUACGCUAAUACCGCAUAUUCUGUGAGCAGGAAAGCAGGGGACCGCAAGGCCUUGCGCUCUUUGAGCGGCCGAUGUCAGAUUAGCUAGUUGGUGAGGUAAAGGCUUACCAAGGCGACGAUCUGUAGCGGGUCUGAGAGGAUGAUCCGCCACACUGGAACUGAGACACGGUCCAGACUCCUACGGGAGGCAGCAGUGGGGAAUUUUGGACAAUGGGCGCAAGCCUGAUCCAGCCAUGCCGCGUGAGUGAAGAAGGCCUUCGGGUUGUAAAGCUCUUUCGGCCGGGAAGAAAUCACAUGGGUUAAUACCCUGUGUGGAUGACGGUACCGGAAUAAGAAGCACCGGCUAACUACGUG